AGCACCCGCGGUAAUUCCAGCUCCAAUAGCGUAUAUUAAAGUUGUUGCAGUUAAAAAGCUCGUAGUUGAAUUUCGGGACCAAUUUGUUGGUCGUGCCUCGGUACGUACUGGUAUUAUUGGUUUCUCCCUUCUGAAGAACCUCGAUGCCAUUAAUUUGGUGUCGUGGGGAAUCAGGACUGUUACUUUGAAAAAUUAGAGUGUUUAAAGCAAGCAUACGCUUGAAUACAUUAGCAUGGAAUAAUGAAAUAGGACGUUUGAUUCUAUUUUGUUGGUUUCUAGGAUCGACGUAAUGAUUAAUAGGGAUAGUUGGGGGCAUUAGUAUUCAAUUGUCAGAGGUGAAAUUCUUGGAUUUAUUGAAGACUAACUACUGCGAAAGCAUUU
This 381-nucleotide small RNA is filed under the name uncultured Glomus. RNAcentral describes it as "SSU rRNA". It matches the Rfam family "Eukaryotic small subunit ribosomal RNA", at positions 569 to 956 of the family's 1831-position model. The record is from RNAcentral. Lineage: Eukaryota; Fungi; Glomeromycota; Glomeromycetes; Glomerales; Glomeraceae.